RNAcentral lists this ribosomal RNA (775 nucleotides) under uncultured Neocallimastigales. Its description in RNAcentral is "partial large subunit ribosomal RNA". It matches the Rfam family "Eukaryotic large subunit ribosomal RNA", at positions 23 to 633 of the family's 3401-position model. Lineage: Eukaryota; Fungi; Neocallimastigomycota; Neocallimastigomycetes; Neocallimastigales. The record is from RNAcentral.
GAGAGAGACAUGCGCGCAUAUCAAUAAGCGGAGGAAAAGAAACUAACUAGGAUUCCCUCAGUAACGGCGAGUGAAGCGGGAAGAGCUCAAAUUUGAAAUCUUCAAGGUUCUACCUUGACGAAUUGUAGUUUAAAGAAGUGUUUUCUGUUGGAGUUUUGGUAAAAGUUCUUUGGAAUAGGACAUCAUAGAGGGUGAGAAUCCCGUAUUUGACCAUUUACUUUCAGCCUUUGUGAUACACUUUCAAAGAGUCGGAUUGUUUGGGAAUGCAGUCCAAAAUGGGUGGUAAAUUUCAUCUAAAGCUAAAUAUUGGCGAGAGACCGAUAGCGAACAAGUACCGUGAGGGAAAGAUGAAAAGAACUUUGAAAAGAGAGUUAAACAGUACGUGAAAUUGUCAAAAGGGAAGCGUUUGACACCAGUGUUGUUUUUCUGAAAAUCAAUUAAAGAACUGUUUAUGCUAAGCUGUUUAGACUUUAUCAGCUAACUGUUUAGUUUUGAGCUUUUCUUUAAUGCACUUUUCAGUUAACAAGUCAACAUCAAUUUCUUUUGCUGUAAAAAAGCUUGAGGAAGGUGGCUUGAGAUUCGUCUUAAGUGUUUAUAGCCUCUUGCCUAUGCAGUCGGAGAGAUUGAGGUCUGCAGCGUAGAUCCUUCGGGGCUAAAUGCAUUUGUGCUAAGUUAUAGCAUUUUAUAGACAACUUGUUGACUAUGAUUUGUCUUGUAGCUUACUCGCUUAUGCUAUUUUACCUACGCUUAGGAUGUUGAAGACUCUACAGAGAUA